AAUUUUUGGAUGGCAUAAUCAGGUGGAGGUUAGGAAUAACAUAUGCAAAAUUCGUUAUGCUACGCCCACUGGAAGUACCUGUGGUACUAAACUAUACUAGACCCGGUUUGCUGUGUCAGUGGUGCAAAAUGUAAGAUAUUUUGAGGAAAUUCGUCGUGCUGCGCGUUGCAGUUUUCACGCUAUUGUUGGCGGUUUAGCCAUUAACUUGGAAACGGAUAACACAAAACGUGUAUGCACAUGAGUUGAGGAAUCAAGUUUUGAAAGUCUGUUCACCACUUCACGCAAGACCCAAGCUUGUCGUACUUCACCGUUGAAGCUGAUAUUCCAAAUGAAGUUGAGACUUGUGAACAGAAAUAUAUUUCCCCUAUCAUCCAGGACCAUUCUUACAGCUGCGGUAAGUCUUCAAGGUUUUUUGAAAGAUUGGAAAUAAAAACAGAAGAACUGGAGACUGUCGGGAAAAAGCUGAAAGUCCCCAAGCAAAAGUCAGAGCGACUGUAAAUAAUACUUCAAAACAACAGUGUUAUAAAAUCAAUACAAGAAAAAAAUUUAAUCACCACUAGAAGUAAAGAACUUCUAGGCUGCAGUCCUGCGAUUUUUAAGCGAAUCCUUGAUGGGCCCACCCACAUAAAAAUAGCUUCCUGAAUUGAAAGCAUUUGCCCUUAAUUUUAACUUUUAUUCUGCUAAUUCCUACCUAUUUGUAAGGCAUACAUUUAAUCCAGCUUAUAUCCUCCCAUGUCAAAUUUGGCACUUGAAUUCCGAAAUUUCAGCAGAGCCUGGGUUUACUUAGCUUAGUAUGCCAUAUUCGCUUAUUUCUCCUUUUACACGUACCUAUAAAUUUCAAUUUUGCAUAUUUUUAGUAUGCCAUAUUCGCUUAUUUCUCUUUUUACACGUACCUAUAAAUUUCAAUUUGCAUAUUUUUAGUAUGCCAUCUUUGCUUAUUUCUCUUUUUACACGUCCCUAUGAAUUUCAACUUUGCAUAUUUUUAGUAUGCCAUAUUCGCUUAUUUCUCUUUUUACAUGUCCCCAUGAAAAUUUCAAUUUUGCAUAUUUUUAGUAUGCCAUCUUUGCUUAUUUCUCUUUUUACACGUCCCUAUAAAUUUCAAUUUCGCAUAUUUUUAGUAUGCCAUAUUUGCUUCUUUCUCUUUUUACACGUCCCUAUAAAUUUCUAUUUCAGCUGUUACGCUGCACAACUGGCAGCAUGACAAAAAUAGACCUUUAAACCAAAAAUCAAUCAAGUUCGAUAUCUUACGUAUUACAAAAUUGAAUAUUCUAUUCAAUUCUGUUUUUGCUAGAUUUCACUAUUAAACAGGACCUUAAUUUAGAAUAUUCCGUAUUAUUGAAUUUAAAACAUCGGUCGAAUUUGGCGGUUCAAGAUUCUAUAAUACUCUCCUGAUUGAUUCACUAGGACAGUACUUUAGAUUUAUGGUUUUCAGACUUAAAAUUGUCUACUCUAAGAAAACCCGGUGUAUCUCAAAUAGAACGAGAGCUUGCAAACUUUUUUUAAGUUCUAAUUGCAUUACAAAUUUUACAAAAAAUAAACAAUGCAGAAAU
Molecule: non-coding RNA, 1550 nt
Organism: Styela clava
Lineage: Eukaryota; Metazoa; Chordata; Ascidiacea; Stolidobranchia; Styelidae
Source: RefSeq, a predicted model, not a curated record